Molecule: ribosomal RNA, 301 nt
Filed under: uncultured bacterium
Lineage: Bacteria
Description: partial 16S ribosomal RNA
Rfam family: Bacterial small subunit ribosomal RNA
Source: RNAcentral
CAGCAGCCACGGGAAUACGAAGGGUGCAAGCGUUAAUCGGAAUUACUGGGCGUAAAGCGUGCGUAGGCGGCUUCUUAAGUCGGAUGUGAAAUCCCUGAGCUUAACUUAGGAAUUGCAUUCGAUACUGGGAAGCUAGAGUAUGGGAGAGGAUGGUAGAAUUCCAGGUGUAGCGGUGAAAUGCGUAGAGAUCUGGAGGAAUACCGAUGGCGAAGGCAGCCAUCUGGCCUAAUACUGACGCUGAGGUACGAAAGCAUGGGGAGCAAACAGGAUUAGAUACCCCUGUAGUCCCUGUCUCUUAUAC